This 404-nucleotide ribosomal RNA is filed under the name uncultured bacterium. RNAcentral describes it as "bacterial SSU rRNA". It matches the Rfam family "Bacterial small subunit ribosomal RNA", at positions 29 to 460 of the family's 1533-position model. The record is from RNAcentral.
AACGAACGCUGGCGGCAUGCCUAACACAUGCAAGUCGAACGAAGUCUUCGGACUUAGUGGCGCACGGGUGCGUAACGCGUGGGAAUCUGCCCUUAGGUACGGAAUAACUCAGGGAAACUUGAGCUAAUACCGUAUGAUGUCUUCGGACCAAAGAUUUAUCGCCUAGGGAUGAGCCCGCGUUGGAUUAGCUAGUUGGUGGGGUAAAGGCCUACCAAGGCGACGAUCCAUAGCUGGUCUGAGAGGAUGAUCAGCCACACUGGGACUGAGACACGGCCCAGACUCCUACGGGAGGCAGCAGUGGGGAAUAUUGGACAAUGGGCGAAAGCCUGAUCCAGCAAUGCCGCGUGAGUGAUGAAGGCCUUAGGGUUGUAAAGCUCUUUUACCCGGGAAGAUAAUGACUUACC